UACAGAGGGUGCGAGCGUUGUCCGGAAUCACUGGGCGUAAAGGGCGCGUAGGCGGUGACUUAAGCGUGUGGUGAAAGCUCAGGGCUCAACCCUGAGUCGGCCGUGCGAACUGGGUCACUGGAGCAUGUCAGAGGCAGGCGGAAUUCCGGGUGUAGCGGUGGAAUGCGUAGAGAUCCGGAAGAACACCGGUGGCGAAGGCGGCCUGCUGGGACAUUGCUGACGCUGAGGCGCGACAGCGUGGGGAGCAAACAGG
RNAcentral lists this ribosomal RNA (253 nucleotides) under uncultured bacterium. Its description in RNAcentral is "partial 16S ribosomal RNA". It matches the Rfam family "Bacterial small subunit ribosomal RNA", at positions 524 to 776 of the family's 1533-position model. The record is from RNAcentral.